RNAcentral lists this transfer-messenger RNA (358 nucleotides) under Ignavibacteriaceae. RNAcentral's name for it is "RBG-16-34-14 sp001802795 Standard tmRNA". It matches the Rfam family "transfer-messenger RNA". Rfam says of the family: Bacterial tmRNA, also known as 10Sa RNA or SsrA, is named for its dual tRNA and mRNA-like properties. Its role is to liberate the mRNA from a stalled ribosome. Lineage: Bacteria; Pseudomonadati; Ignavibacteriota; Ignavibacteria; Ignavibacteriales. The record is from RNAcentral. RNAcentral also lists the same sequence under 1 other name.
GGGGGUGAAAUUGGCUUCGACGGGGUUGAAGAGACAUUGAACUGCACAUCGUGUUCCCCGAGUACACGUUAAACAAUUGGGAAUAAAACAAUAACUGGCGAAUAUAACUACGCCUUAGCUGCUUAAUUAAACAAGCAGCCGUUCUCCUUUCUCUCUCAUGCCGGGGUUUGGAAGAACGUCGUUUAGGUAUGAUAGCUGAUUCUGCUGCCUGUGCUGAUGAUGCGAAACUAAAGCAGGCAAGCUUAAAGUGAUCCAGGUCUGUUUGGUAAUUUUAAGUUAAAACAAAAACAGACUAAGUGUGUAGAUGUUCUUUGGUUCUUAACUUCGGACGCGGGUUCGACUCCCGCCACCUCCACUA